RNAcentral lists this transfer RNA (60 nucleotides) under Phrynocephalus clarkorum. RNAcentral describes it as "tRNA-Cys". The record is from RNAcentral. Lineage: Eukaryota; Metazoa; Chordata; Lepidosauria; Squamata; Agamidae.
GACCUAGAUAGUAGUUAGAUUGCAAAUCUUAGCUUAGAAAUAUAAGUUUUCAUAGGUCUA